GCGCUCGUAGUUUAGUGGUAGAACACCUGGUUGCCAAUCAGGGAAUACGGGUCCGAUUCCCGUCGGGCGCA
This 71-nucleotide transfer RNA is filed under the name Nanobdellota archaeon. RNAcentral describes it as "tRNA-Gly". It matches the Rfam family "tRNA". Rfam says of the family: Transfer RNA (tRNA) molecules are approximately 80 nucleotides in length. Their secondary structure includes four short double-helical elements and three loops (D, anti-codon, and T loops). Lineage: Archaea; Nanobdellati; Nanobdellota. RNAcentral also lists the same sequence under 1 other name. The record is from RNAcentral.